CCUACGGGAGGCAGCAGUAGGGAAUAUUGCACAAUGGAGGAAACUCUGAUGCAGCGAUGCCGCGUGAGUGAAGAAGGCCUUUGGGUUGUAAAGCUCUUUCGUCGGGGAAGAAAAUGACGGUACCCGAAUAAGAAGGUCCGGCUAACUUCGUGCCAGCAGCCGCGGUAAUACGAAGGGACCUAGCGUAGUUCGGAAUUACUGGGCUUAAAGAGUUCGUAGGUGGUUAAAAAAGUUGGUUGUGAAAUCCCGAAGCUUAACUUCGGAACUGCAAUCAAAACUUUUUAGCUAGAGUAUGAUAGAGGAAAGCAGAAUUUCUAGUGUAGAGGUGAAAUUCGUAGAUAUUAGAAAGAAUACCAAUUGCGAAGGCAGCUUUCUGGAUCAUUACUGACGCUGAGGAACGAAAGCAUGGGUAGCGAAGAGGAUUAGAUACCCUCGUAGUCCAUGCCGUAAACGAUGUGUGUUAGACGUUGGAAAUUUAUUUUCGGUGUCGCAGCGAAAGCAGUAAACACACCGCCUGGGGAGUACGACCGCAAGGUUAAAACUCAAAUGAAUUGACGG
Molecule: ribosomal RNA, 558 nt
Filed under: uncultured bacterium
Lineage: Bacteria
Description: bacterial SSU rRNA
Rfam family: Bacterial small subunit ribosomal RNA
Source: RNAcentral